UGCGUCCCAUCAAAGAGGCAGCCUCAUACGGUUAUGCAACAUCAUUGAUGAAGGCCCUUCAGGAAAGCAACACCCAUUCACCUGCAGCUCUUCGAGAGACAAGUCCAAUGAUUUAGUUGUAAGUAUUUAUUUUAGUUGUUAUUUAUCUUCUUUCCUUCUGUCCCUGUCAUCUCAUUUGGUGGUGGUUUCCUGUAUUCUGCAUGUUUUGUGUGUUGUUGCUUUGGUUUUACUUUGCACUAAAUCAUUACUUUUUUUCGUCUUUGUAAGUGGCAUUAAUUGUCGCUGUACCCCAUUCAAGGGGUCCUGCAUGCUGCAUGUCUGCUCCUCUGUCUGUUAUUUGCAUGAAAUUUGUUUUAUGUAAUUCAAAAUAAUUUACCAAUCAUUUUACCUGUGCCUUGUCAACCUCUGUGUGCGGU
Molecule: long non-coding RNA, 416 nt
Organism: Xyrauchen texanus (razorback sucker)
Lineage: Eukaryota; Metazoa; Chordata; Actinopteri; Cypriniformes; Catostomidae
Exons: 3
Source: RefSeq, a predicted model, not a curated record